ACUUUUCUUCAAACUUUUAAUGAAAACAAAAUCCAAUCCCUCGCUCCCCUUGCUGCACCGUCCAGCCAUCAUCAACAAACAAAAUGUCCAGCUCCAAAUAUUNCUUNCAACCAUCAACAAAAGCACAAGAAGAAAAGGGUUCAAACAUGAAACACCCAUACACCAACUCAAGCCUUUUUCACUACCAAACUUAACAAGAACUUCAUUUUCAUGAUCCAAU
This 220-nucleotide long non-coding RNA is filed under the name Vigna radiata. RNAcentral describes it as "long non-coding RNA (VRAD_LNC016380)". The record is from RNAcentral. Lineage: Eukaryota; Viridiplantae; Streptophyta; Magnoliopsida; Fabales; Fabaceae.